Pimephales promelas (fathead minnow) is the source of this 283-nucleotide non-coding RNA. The record is from RefSeq and is a predicted model, not a curated record. Lineage: Eukaryota; Metazoa; Chordata; Actinopteri; Cypriniformes; Leuciscidae.
GCAUCAUCCUCGCUGCAAGUGGCGUUUACAGAACCAGAACACUGAGCAUCAUCCUGGCUGACGGUGGCGUUCACAGAACCAGAACCCUGAGCAUCAUCCUCGCUGCAAGUGGCGUUCACAGGACCAGAACACUGAGCAUCAUCCUGGCUGAAGGUGGCGUUCACAGAACCAGAACCCUGAGCAUCAUCCUCGCUGCAAGUGGCGUUCACUGAACCAGAACACUGAGCAUCAUCCUGGCUGAAGGUGGCGUUCACAGAACCAGAACCCUGAUCAUCAUCCUGGC